AUUGAACGCUGGCGGCAGGCCUAACACAUGCCAGUCGAGCGGAUGAAGGGAGCUUGCUCCUGGAUUCAGCGGCGGACGGGUGAGUAAUGCCUAGGAAUCUGCCUGGUAGUGGGGGAUAACGUCCGGAAACGGGCGCUAAUACCGCAUACGUCCUGAGGGAGAAAGUGGGGGAUCUUCGGACCUCACGCUAUCAGAUGAGCCUAGGUCGGAUUAGCUAGUUGGUGGGGUAAAGGCCUACCAAGGCGACGAUCCGUAACUUGUCUGAGAGGAUGAUCAGUCACACUGGAACUGAGACACGGUCCAGACUCCUACGGGAGGCAGCAGUGGGGAAUAUUGGACAAUGGGCGAAAGCCUGAUCCAGCCAUGCCGCGUGUGUGAAGAAGGUCUUCGGAUUGUAAAGCACUUUAAGUUGGGAGGAAGGGCAGUAAGUUAAUACCUUGCUGUUUUGACGUUACCAACAGAAUAAGCACCGGCUAACUUCGUG
Molecule: ribosomal RNA, 484 nt
Filed under: uncultured bacterium
Lineage: Bacteria
Description: partial 16S ribosomal RNA
Rfam family: Bacterial small subunit ribosomal RNA
Source: RNAcentral